UGCAGUCGAGCGGACCGACGGGAGCUUGCUCCCUUAGGUCAGCGGCGGACGGGUGAGUAACACGUGGGUAACCUGCCUGUAAGACUGGGAUAACUCCGGGAAACCGGGGCUAAUACCGGAUGCUUGAUUGAACCGCAUGGUUCAAUCAUAAAAGGUGGCUUUUAGCUACCACUUACAGAUGGACCCGCGGCGCAUUAGCUAGUUGGUGAGGUAACGGCUCACCAAGGCGACGAUGCGUAGCCGACCUGAGAGGGUGAUCGGCCACACUGGGACUGAGACACGGCCCAGACUCCUACGGGAGGCAGCAGUAGGGAAUCUUCCGCAAUGGACGAAAGUCUGACGGAGCAACGCCGCGUGAGUGAUGAAGGUUUUCGGAUCGUAAAACUCUGUUGUUAGGGAAGAACAAGUACCGUUCGAAUAGGGCGGUACCUUGACGGUACCUAACCAGAAAGCCACGGCUAACUACGUGCC
Molecule: ribosomal RNA, 471 nt
Filed under: Bacillus licheniformis
Lineage: Bacteria; Bacillati; Bacillota; Bacilli; Caryophanales; Bacillaceae
Description: bacterial SSU rRNA
Rfam family: Bacterial small subunit ribosomal RNA
Source: RNAcentral